GCUUGUUUUACGUCAAUAAUCCCUUAAUAUUGAUGAAAACGUUCUAGAUAUAAGUUAAAUAAUCUGCCAGUGGAACAGGACAUUUUACCUGGACAAAAUGUGUCACCAAGGUGAUGUACAGUAUUUGUUUUUCUCCACCGUUUUGAUCUCGUCUCAGCAAAACGUCUCUGUGUUUACUGUGUCCCUUACAUGUGGUUUUCUUUUCCACACAUCUAUAUUAACUAUAUUUAUCAUAUUUUGGUAACGUCCAGCCUAACAAACAGGCUAAACUCUGUCAAUACGGUAUUACAUCUGGUUUAUCCCAUAAAAUUUAAAUAAAAAUAAAAACGUUGCGACAUGAAUAAAAUGUGAAAAAGUUUAAGGAUGUGAAAACCUUUGCAGCAGUUGAUUGUUUUUUUCGAUUUUUAAUUUGGGAUUAAAAACCAAAACGUUAAAGGAGACAUUACGUUGAUGUUUUUUCUGUUAAAUUCUCAGCUUGGUUUUGGGGGCUGGCGUCGGUGGUGCUUGUGGUUCAUCCAUCCAUUACUGGUCACUCACUCUGCCACGAACUUAUAAAACUCUAAGGAUUAAAGAGGAAUAAUUUGACUGCGAUAUCCUUCUUCUGUAAACCAAUUUGUUAGACUUGAUUGUAAGGUAUAGAUCCCAAAUUUAUUU
Long non-coding RNA from Poecilia latipinna (sailfin molly), 654 nucleotides. RefSeq lists it as uncharacterized. Lineage: Eukaryota; Metazoa; Chordata; Actinopteri; Cyprinodontiformes; Poeciliidae. The record is from RefSeq and is a predicted model, not a curated record. The transcript has 3 exons.